UACGUAGGGGGCAAGCGUUGUCCGGAUUCAUUGGGCGUAAAGAGCGUGUAGGCGGCCAGGUAGGUCGGUUGUGAAAACUGGAGGCUCAACCUUCAGAGGUCGACCGAAACCAUCUGGCUAGAGUCCGGGAGAGGAGAGUGGAAUUCCCAGUGUAGCGGUGAAAUGCGUAGAUAUUGGGAGGAACACCGGUGGCGAAGGCGGCCCUCUGGACCGGUACUGACGCUGAUGCGCGAAAGCGUGGGGAGCAAACGGG
RNAcentral lists this ribosomal RNA (253 nucleotides) under uncultured bacterium. Its description in RNAcentral is "partial 16S ribosomal RNA". It matches the Rfam family "Bacterial small subunit ribosomal RNA", at positions 524 to 776 of the family's 1533-position model. The record is from RNAcentral.